UACGUAGGUGUCAAGCGUUGUCCGGAUUUAUUGGGCGUAAAGCGCCCGCAGGCGGCUUGCCAAGUUCGAUGUGAAAUCUCCCGGCUCAACUGGGAGGGUGCAUCGAAAACUGACAGGCUUGAGGCAGGGAGAGGGUGGUGGAAUUUCCUGUGUAGCGGUGAAAUGCGUAGAUAUAGGAAGGAACACCAGUGGCGAAGGCGACCACCUGGACUGAUACUGACACUGAGGUGCGAAAGCGUGGGGAGCAAACAGG
RNAcentral lists this ribosomal RNA (253 nucleotides) under uncultured bacterium. RNAcentral's name for it is "partial 16S ribosomal RNA". It matches the Rfam family "Bacterial small subunit ribosomal RNA", at positions 524 to 776 of the family's 1533-position model. The record is from RNAcentral.